CCUACGGGAGACAGCAGUGGGGAAUAUUGCACAAUGGGGGAAACCCUGAUGCAGCGACGCCGCGUGAGUGAAGAAGUAUUUCGGAUUGUAAAGCUCUAUUAGCAGGGAAGAACAUGACGGUAUCUGACUAAUAAGCACCGGCUAACUACGUGCCAGCAGCCGCGGUAAUACGUAGGGGGCAAGCGUUACCCGGAUUUACUGGGUGUAAAGGGCGCGUAGACGGGGAUGCAAGUCAGAUGUGAAAGCCUGUGGCUCAACCCCGGGACUGCUUUUGAAACUGUGUUACUGGAGUGUAGGAGAGGUAAGCGGAAUUCCUGGUGUAGGGGUAAAAUGCGUAGAGAUCAGGAGGAACACUAGUUGCGAAGGCGACUUACUAGACUGUAACUGACGUUGAGGCUCGAAAGCGUGGGGAGCAAACAGGAUUAGAUACCCCGGUAGUC
Molecule: ribosomal RNA, 440 nt
Filed under: uncultured bacterium
Lineage: Bacteria
Description: partial 16S ribosomal RNA
Rfam family: Bacterial small subunit ribosomal RNA
Source: RNAcentral